CUUCAAAACAAGGUCUCCCUGAGGGCCGUGGCAGACCACCACGUCGAUAGGCCAGAGGUGUAAGAGCGGUAACGCUUUCAGCUGACUGGUACUAAUUGCCCGAUAGGCUUGAUUUG
Molecule: ribosomal RNA, 116 nt
Filed under: Pseudorhodobacter sp.
Lineage: Bacteria; Pseudomonadati; Pseudomonadota; Alphaproteobacteria; Rhodobacterales; Paracoccaceae
Description: partial 23S ribosomal RNA
Rfam family: Bacterial large subunit ribosomal RNA
Source: RNAcentral